This 71-nucleotide transfer RNA is filed under the name Prevotella sp. Its description in RNAcentral is "tRNA-Gln". It matches the Rfam family "tRNA". From Rfam's summary of the family: Transfer RNA (tRNA) molecules are approximately 80 nucleotides in length. Their secondary structure includes four short double-helical elements and three loops (D, anti-codon, and T loops). Lineage: Bacteria; Pseudomonadati; Bacteroidota; Bacteroidia; Bacteroidales; Prevotellaceae. The record is from RNAcentral.
UGUCUUGUGGUGUAACGGUAACACAGCUGAUUUUGGUUCAGUCGUUCCCAGUUCGAAUCCGGGCAAGACAA